Spinacia oleracea (spinach) is the source of this 504-nucleotide long non-coding RNA. RefSeq lists it as uncharacterized. The record is from RefSeq and is a predicted model, not a curated record. Lineage: Eukaryota; Viridiplantae; Streptophyta; Magnoliopsida; Caryophyllales; Amaranthaceae. The transcript is spliced from 4 exons.
AAAGAUUUCCAAAAAAAGGAAGGGGCCUCAAUUUUUUCCAUUUUCCCGCUCUUCAUCUGCUUCCCUCGCAUUCUUUGCAUCUGCGGCGCCGCGAAAUGUACAAACUCACUGCACAUACGCUCACCCAUCUCUUCCACGCCUCCCUCCUCUGCCUUGUCGCCGCUGCGCUCUAUUCUUCCUCACUAACUGGGGAGGAAGAUGCAGGCUUGUUGUUGGACACUCGAUCUCUUUACAUAUUCUAACUUGUGGAGAGUAUUACGAGCUUCCUGAACAUCUCUUAUGAUCCAACAACCUUCAUUCAAGUAUUCAAUAAUCCGAGGGAGCGGCUUUUCACCUUUGAGGAGAUAGAUGAAGUUCGAGAAAUGUUGGCAAACUUCAUUAUCAGUGAUUGUCUUUGAUAUUUUCUUGUAGUGAAUAUUAAAUUAUGGAUGUUAGUUUUUCAUAUGAUUGUAAUGUAAUCGACUUUUAUAUUUACAAUUAUAUACUAUUUAAUUUAAUUAUCUA